GCAGCCUCCUGCCUGAAGGCCACCUGAACCUAACGGCUCCCUGCAACGCUGCCUGCAGCUGCCAGCCAGAGCACUACAGCCCUGUGUGCGGCUCGGAUGGCCUCAUGUACUUCUCACUGUGCCACGCAGGAUGCCCUGCAGCCACAGAGACGAAUGUGGACGGCCAGAAGCAGCAUUCCUGCACUAACGGCAACUCUACGAUGUGUCCGUGACCCUCAGAGAUCCUUUGCCCUGGGAAUCCAGUGGAUUGUAGUUAGAAUACUAGGGGGCAUCCCGGGGCCCAUCGCCUUCGGCUGGGUGAUCGACAAGGCCUGUCUGCUGUGGCAGGACCAGUGUGGCCAGCAGGGCUCCUGCUUGGUGUACCAGAACUCGGCCAUGAGCCGCUACAUACUCAUCAUGGGGCUCCUGUACAAGGUGCUGGGCGUCCUCUUCUUUGCCAUAGCCUGCUGCUUAUACAAGCCCCUGUCGGAGUCUUCAGAUGGCCUGGAAACUUGUCUACCCAACCAGUCCUCGGCCCCUAACAGUGCCACGGAUAGCCAGCUCCAGAGCAGCGUCUGACCACCGCCCACGCACACACGGCCACGGCAGGCACUCGGCAUUUCCUGAUGACAGAACAGUGCCCUUGGGUGAUGCAAUCACGUGGAAACUUCUAUUUGACCUGAGACCUUCUACUUAACCUGUGGUUUAAAGUCGGCUGUGACCUCCUGUCCUCAGAGCUGUACGGCCCUUCAGUGGGUGGGAGGAACUUGCAUAAAUAUAUAUUUGUGGACACAUUUUGCACCAGAACAUAUUUAUAGAAUGUGUUUUAUACCAGAUC
This 817-nucleotide small RNA is filed under the name Pongo abelii (Sumatran orangutan). RNAcentral describes it as "processed transcript". Lineage: Eukaryota; Metazoa; Chordata; Mammalia; Primates; Hominidae. The record is from RNAcentral.